This is a small nucleolar RNA of Echinops telfairi (small Madagascar hedgehog), 128 nucleotides long. Lineage: Eukaryota; Metazoa; Chordata; Mammalia; Afrosoricida; Tenrecidae. The record is from Ensembl.
AGCGCUUUGGCUUGCGUCUGUUUAAUUUGUGGGUCAACACUCAAAAGACAGGUGCAAAAAUAAAUCCUCUGUUGCAACCCAGAACUCAGAGUGGAGUGUUGGUUUGGAUACAGAUCAGCAGGGACACA